Molecule: long non-coding RNA, 660 nt
Filed under: Panax ginseng (ginseng)
Lineage: Eukaryota; Viridiplantae; Streptophyta; Magnoliopsida; Apiales; Araliaceae
Description: long non-coding RNA (PGIN_LNC019116)
Source: RNAcentral
AUUAAUCUCUCCAUCAUAUCUCUUUGAGUGAAACAAAAAAUGGAGAAGCCUGAUCUUUCCUCCUCCUGUACUUCUCUCAAGAACCCUGAGGCGGCGGUUAAUUGUCUUACUGGGAGAAAGACGGUGUCUAGGGCUAACUCAUCUCCAAGAUCGUCUCCAAAUCCCUGCCCGACUGAUCGUCCGUCUGUCGAAAAUACAGUUGAACGUGAAAUCAAGCUAGACAUUCCAAAUCUGACUGACCGUCAACCACUGCAAAAAAAUAGAUCAUUGCCGACGGUCUCUGCCGCGGUCAAUGACCCUAUUGCCGUCGGCAAUUAUGUCAUGCCAAACAUUCGAAACAUUUCUGGUGGCUCUCGUGUUCCUUUUGCAGCUGGGGGAAUAUAAUUAUGAUAAUGGAUGCAUCUUAUAUAUAUAUAUAUAUAUAUAUAUAUAUAUAUAUAUUAUAGUAGUGUUAUAAAUUAAUAUGUGUGUAUGCACUAUGCACUAUGUAAGACCUGCAUAUAUAAGGAAGUAGUUUGUCAAGAUCCCAUAAGAAACUAUAAGUUGAAUAAAUCACUACUUCCUCAGAUCUUUAAUUGACUGUGUGUCUCUUUAAUCUAUUUAGGGUUCCCGGGCUGUGAUCAGUUACACUUUGAUGUGCCUAUAGAUAUGUUUUGUGCU